UGAGGAAUAUUGGUCAAUGGACGCAAGUCUGAACCAGCCAUGCCGCGUGCAGGAUGACGGUGCUAUGCAUUGUAAACUGCUUUUGUACGAGGGUAAACGGGGAUACGUGUAUCCUUUUGAAAGUAUCGUACGAAUAAGGAUCGGCUAACUCCGUGCCAGCAGCCGCGGUAAUACGGAGGAUCCGAGCGUUAUCCGGAUUUAUUGGGUUUAAAGGGUGCGUAGGCGGUUUUAUAAGUUAGAGGUGAAAGCUCAACGCUCAACGUUGAAAUUGCCUCUAAUACUGUAAGACUAGAGUCUAGUUGCUGAGGGCGGAAUGAGUAGUGUAGCGGUGAAAUGCUUAGAUAUUACUCAGAACACCGAUUGCGAAGGCAGCUCUCAAAGCUAUCACUGACGCUGAGGCACGAAAGCGUGGGGAUCAAACA
Molecule: ribosomal RNA, 422 nt
Filed under: uncultured Rikenellaceae bacterium
Lineage: Bacteria; Pseudomonadati; Bacteroidota; Bacteroidia; Bacteroidales; Rikenellaceae
Description: partial 16S ribosomal RNA
Rfam family: Bacterial small subunit ribosomal RNA
Source: RNAcentral